This 895-nucleotide ribosomal RNA is filed under the name Staphylococcus aureus. RNAcentral describes it as "partial 23S ribosomal RNA". It matches the Rfam family "Bacterial large subunit ribosomal RNA", at positions 532 to 1434 of the family's 2925-position model. The record is from RNAcentral. Lineage: Bacteria; Bacillati; Bacillota; Bacilli; Caryophanales; Staphylococcaceae.
AGGGGAGUGAAAUAGAACCUGAAACCGUGUGCUUACAAGUAGUCAGAGCCCGUUAAUGGGUGAUGGCGUGCCUUUUGUAGAAUGAACCGGCGAGUUACGAUUUGAUGCAAGGUUAAGCAGUAAAUGUGGAGCCGUAGCGAAAGCGAGUCUGAAUAGGGCGUUUAGUAUUUGGUCGUAGACCCGAAACCAGGUGAUCUACCCUUGGUCAGGUUGAAGUUCAGGUAACACUGAAUGGAGGACCGAACCGACUUACGUUGAAAAGUGAGCGGAUGAACUGAGGGUAGCGGAGAAAUUCCAAUCGAACCUGGAGAUAGCUGGUUCUCUCCGAAAUAGCUUUAGGGCUAGCCUCAAGUGAUGAUUAUUGGAGGUAGAGCACUGUUUGGACGAGGGGCCCCUCUCGGGUUACCGAAUUCAGACAAACUCCGAAUGCCAAUUAAUUUAACUUGGGAGUCAGAACAUGGGUGAUAAGGUCCGUGUUCGAAAGGGAAACAGCCCAGACCACCAGCUAAGGUCCCAAAAUAUAUGUUAAGUGGAAAAGGAUGUGGCGUUGCCCAGACAACUAGGAUGUUGGCUUAGAAGCAGCCAUCAUUUAAAGAGUGCGUAAUAGCUCACUAGUCGAGUGACACUGCGCCGAAAAUGUACCGGGGCUAAACAUAUUACCGAAGCUGUGGAUUGUCCUUUGGACAAUGGUAGGAGAGCGUUCUAAGGGCGUUGAAGCAUGAUCGUAAGGACAUGUGGAGCGCUUAGAAGUGAGAAUGCCGGUGUGAGUAGCGAAAGACGGGUGAGAAUCCCGUCCACCGAUUGACUAAGGUUUCCAGAGGAAGGCUCGUCCGCUCUGGGUUAGUCGGGUCCUAAGCUGAGGCCGACAGGCGUAGGCGAUGGAUAACAGGUUGAU